CACGUAGGGGGCAAGCGUUGUCCGGAUUUAUUGGGCGUAAAGAGCUCGUAGGCGGCUCAGUAAGUCAGGUGUGAAACCUCCAGGCUCAACCUGGAGACGCCACCUGAUACUGCUGUGGCUAGAGUCCGGUAGGGGAGCGUGGAAUUCCUGGUGUAGCGGUGAAAUGCGCAGAUAUCAGGAGGAACACCAGCGGCGAAGGCGGCGCUCUGGGCCGGAACUGACGCUGAGGCGCGAAAGCCAGGGGAGCAAACGGG
RNAcentral lists this ribosomal RNA (254 nucleotides) under uncultured bacterium. RNAcentral describes it as "partial 16S ribosomal RNA". It matches the Rfam family "Bacterial small subunit ribosomal RNA", at positions 524 to 776 of the family's 1533-position model. The record is from RNAcentral.